CAGUGUUCAGCCAAGGAGCCACUGAUUUGCAGGAGAACUGCUCGGGACCACGUUACAAAACAUUCUGGCAUGUGCUAGUUGCUGUACAAACAGAACAAAGUGGAGAAUUGUCCCUGGGAGCUGCAGUCCAAGACAGGUGCAGGCAGCAUUUUGCAAACAAAUUUUGUUCGCCUUGAAGAUCUCUAAACAUAAGAACGAAUUAUUGCAGAGCAAAAAUCAGCUGUUGAACAGAACAUAGACUGCUACAUUGCAAAAUAAAU
Long non-coding RNA from Corvus hawaiiensis (hawaiian crow), 260 nucleotides. RefSeq lists it as uncharacterized. The record is from RefSeq and is a predicted model, not a curated record. Lineage: Eukaryota; Metazoa; Chordata; Aves; Passeriformes; Corvidae. The transcript has 3 exons.